Molecule: long non-coding RNA, 764 nt
Organism: Monodelphis domestica (gray short-tailed opossum)
Lineage: Eukaryota; Metazoa; Chordata; Mammalia; Didelphimorphia; Didelphidae
Source: RefSeq, a predicted model, not a curated record
AUGGGAGAGAUGUUUGGGAAUUCCAAGAAGUGGCAUUGAGUUGCAUACGUCUGGUAAGAGUAAGCAGUUAAGAAUAAUAUCAACAUCAAAAGCCAAAUGUGUCAAUUUUACAUAAAAGGUGGAGGAUGGCUAGACAUGAAGAGGAAAUGGAUCUCAUUUUUGUAGGAAGAGGAAUAAGAGAAGUUACAGAAAUAUUUGGACUUAAUAUAAGGAAAAAACUUCCUAACAAUUUUAACUUUCCAAAAGAUGGAAGGAUGCCUCAAAAGGUAAUGAGUUCUCCAACAGGAAAAAUUUCCAAGGAGAGUCCAUCCUCAUCCUCGCCUGCAAUAUCCACAGCUGAAAAGAUCAAGGCAACUAGGAUGGCAAAGCAACAUACCAAGGCAAAGAUCACAAUGCACUUUUGCUGGGACUGAAAAAGAUUAAAAACAAGGAGAAAGGGAGAAAAAAGAAAGAUGAAUAUUGCAGUUCUCAUUUAGGAAACUCAAGAUAUGACAAUUUUUCAAAACUGGUGGAAAAUAAACCUUUGAAUACAUUACUUUCAUCAUUGGCAGAGCAAGAUUGUUCUCUGGAUGAAAAUGUACAAGACCUCUAAGCCUAUUCUUCAACACAGUCUCUGAGUUCAUGCUAUAUGUCAGACACUUAAAUAAUUCACAUUAUAGUGCUGAGACUUUUGAAUUCUUUCUUUAUUUCCCUCUGAUCAAAAGUGACUCAGAAUAGAUCACUAAAAAAUCCAUUACUUCUAAUAAAAAAUAGAACACAGGGUA